Molecule: non-coding RNA, 98 nt
Filed under: Blautia sp.
Lineage: Bacteria; Bacillati; Bacillota; Clostridia; Lachnospirales; Lachnospiraceae
Also listed under: 1 other name
Description: SAM-I sequence
Rfam family: SAM riboswitch aptamer (S box leader)
About the family: The SAM riboswitch is found upstream of a number of genes which code for proteins involved in methionine or cysteine biosynthesis in Gram-positive bacteria. The SAM riboswitch acts at the level of transcription termination control. The predicted structure consists of a complex stem-loop region followed by a single stem loop terminator region.
Source: RNAcentral
CUCUUAUUCAGAGUGGCGGAGGUACAUAGGACCUGUGAACCCACGGCAACCCCCUGAGCGGAAGGUGCCAACCUGAGCGAUAAUUCGAACAAUAAGAG